Molecule: transfer RNA, 74 nt
Filed under: Gluconacetobacter diazotrophicus PA1 5
Lineage: Bacteria; Pseudomonadati; Pseudomonadota; Alphaproteobacteria; Acetobacterales; Acetobacteraceae
Description: transfer RNA-Met
Rfam family: tRNA
About the family: Transfer RNA (tRNA) molecules are approximately 80 nucleotides in length. Their secondary structure includes four short double-helical elements and three loops (D, anti-codon, and T loops).
Source: RNAcentral
GGGUGGAGCAGCCCGGUAGCUCGUCAGGCUCAUAACCUGAAGGUCACAGGUUCAAAUCCUGUCCCCGCAACCAU